UUAGAUACUUCAAAUAUUAUAUUUGGUAAAAAAUUAAUAAAAACUUUUAUUCAAAAUGGUUUUCCCUCUUAUAAGAAGCAAGUGAUAUAAAAAACUAAAAUAAAUAAAGUUCCUUUAUUAUUAAUUGCUCUAAAAAUAUUUAUAAAUGGCUUCUCCAAAGUUCUUUUCCAUGUCCUUUUCACAUUUUCUCUUUUUUCUUGCUAUUUGUUUUACUGUCUUCAUAUGUGUUCUUAUGAUGUUUUCAAUUCUUAGCGAGAUGAACAAAGAAAACAAUACAAUUAUCUUUAAAAACAAAAGGUUCUCCCUAGAAGACGAAUCGAUAAAUUUGUGGAGCGAAAAAUCAAUUUGUUGUGCAUGUAUCAAAGAAUUGAAGGAACGUCUUGAAAAGUUGUAUACGGAGUUUGAUCAACUACAAAUGGAGUAUGAAAAAUUGACAAAUUUUGUCAAAUAAUGUAAAGACAGUUGCUGAUGAAAAGUAGAGUUUAUAACCAAAGAUUUCUAGUGUGGCCUUAAUGCUUCAGCUCAUGCCAUGGAAAAAAAAGGUUGGGUUUUAUUAAAAUAAAAAGUAAUUGUAGUUUUCUCUUUGAAAAAUCUUAUUGUAUUAGCAAUGUUUUUUUUUUUCAUUUCAUUGCUAUCAUGGUUUGUACCGGAGUCGUUCAAUAUUUAACUUUGCUGAAAUGUAUUAUAAGUUAUCUCAUAA
Long non-coding RNA from Solanum lycopersicum (tomato), 700 nucleotides. RefSeq lists it as uncharacterized. Lineage: Eukaryota; Viridiplantae; Streptophyta; Magnoliopsida; Solanales; Solanaceae. The record is from RefSeq and is a predicted model, not a curated record.